Corythoichthys intestinalis (scribbled pipefish) is the source of this 911-nucleotide long non-coding RNA. RefSeq lists it as uncharacterized. The transcript is spliced from 3 exons. Lineage: Eukaryota; Metazoa; Chordata; Actinopteri; Syngnathiformes; Syngnathidae. The record is from RefSeq and is a predicted model, not a curated record.
GGGAACUGAAGAGGUUUUCAGAUUUCGCUCUUAAGUGUUUUACUCAGUUGAAUUGUAUUAAAUGCGUCAUUCGCUCUCUCAAAAAGUCACUUAAAAAAAAAAAAAUAAUAAUUGACCGCGUAGUUUUUGAGUUAUGGCCAUAGCAACACCAUAGCAACGAGGGACGCGCCGUCCUGCCGACCCCUACCUCGUGACGUAACUUCCAGGAAGCCUCGCCACCACUCUGAACACGGAAAUAUAGCACCACGCUAUCCUCGCCAUAUAUUGCAAACAUUUUCUGGGUUUUACUCGCGGGAUUCGUCAUGCCAUCUCGAUGUGUAGCGAUAUGAAUUACUCACAGGAAGACUCGAGACUCUAGGAGUGGUCCAAAAAAAACUUCUCCUGCAAAGCCACGACAGCUUUGAAAACCUACAACAAUGCAACCUUGGUUUUCCAAAGACGAAGCCAAACAUAAAAAAUUAAGUGGCGGAAACCCUCAACACGAUGAAAAAAGCGUUGCAAGUCAGUUGCCACCCAGUUUCCCAAAAUCAAGAGAGAGUGGGUCGAGUCAUAUGAUGACCGAAGUGAUGCGGUGUCCAGCGAUGACGACUGAAGAGAUCCUAUGAGGCCUGCCAGAUGCUGAAUUUCUUCCGUCUGCGACAUCAGAUGACGAUGAUUUAGGAGAAAUAAAUGUAGCAAAUUUUGAUGACAUGAAAUCAUAAACUAGUCAUAUAUACAGUACACAUUUUUUAAAAGAAAAAUCAAGUUACCUUCAUAUUUUAAUGAUAAUGCAUUAUCUUUGUAUAGAGAACACUUCAUGCUACAGAAAAGAGUAAAUACAUAUUUCCCACUGCCAUUAUCAUUUUUCAAUGUUGCGCUAGUCCGUUGCUAUCCUAACUUUGUGUUGCUUACUAAAAUUAUGCUCUUUGAUG